UACGUAGGGUGCGAGCGUUGUCCGGAAUUAUUGGGCGUAAAGAGCUCGUAGGCGGUUUGUCGCGUCUGCUGUGAAAACUCAGGGCUUAACCCUGAGCCUGCAGUGGGUACGGGCAGACUAGAGUGUGGUAGGGGAGAUCGGAAUUCCUGGUGUAGCGGUGGAAUGCGCAGAUAUCAGGAGGAACACCGGUGGCGAAGGCGGAUCUCUGGGCCAUAACUGACGCUGAGGAGCGAAAGCAUGGGGAGCGGACAGG
Molecule: ribosomal RNA, 253 nt
Filed under: uncultured bacterium
Lineage: Bacteria
Description: partial 16S ribosomal RNA
Rfam family: Bacterial small subunit ribosomal RNA
Source: RNAcentral